GAAACUGCGAAUGGCUCAUUAAAUCAGUUAUCGUUUAUUUGAUAGUACCUUACUACAUGGAUAACCGUGGUAAUUCUAGAGCUAAUACAUGCUAAAAAUCCCGACUUCGGAAGGGAUGUAUUUAUUAGAUUAAAAACCAAUGCCCUUCGGGGCUCUCUGGUGAUUCAUAAUAACUUCUCGAAUCGCACGGCCUUGCGCCGGCGAUGGUCCAUUCAAAUUUCUGCCCUAUCAACUUUCGACGGCUGGGUCUUGGCCAGCCGUGGUGACAACGGGUAACGGAGGGUUAGGGCUCGACCCCGGAGAAGGAGCCUGAGAAACGGCUACUACAUCCAAGGAAGGCAGCAGGCGCGCAAAUUACCCAAUCCCGACACGGGGGGGUAGUGACAAUAAAUACUGAUACAGGGCUCUUUCGGGUCUUGUAAUUGGAAUGAGUACAAUUUAAAUCCCUUAACGAGGAACAAUUGGAGGGCAAGUCUGGUGCCAGCAGCCGCGGUAAUUCCAGCUCCAAUAGCGUAUAUUAAAGUUGUUGAGGUUAAAAAGCUCGUAGUUGAACCUUGGGCCUAGCCGGCCGGUCCGCCUCAC
This 582-nucleotide ribosomal RNA is filed under the name uncultured fungus. RNAcentral's name for it is "SSU rRNA". It matches the Rfam family "Eukaryotic small subunit ribosomal RNA", at positions 83 to 668 of the family's 1831-position model. Lineage: Eukaryota; Fungi. The record is from RNAcentral.